AUGAAGACCCGUAUGAAUGGCAUAACGAGGGCUUAACUGUCUCCUUUUUCCAGUCAAUGAAAUUGAUCUCCCCGUGCAGAAGCGGGGAUAAACACAUAAGACGAGAAGACCCUGUGGAGCUUUAGACACAAGGCAGACCAUACAGAGCAGCUUAAAACAAAAAGCUAAACCCAUAUGACCCCACUGCCCAGCAUGUC
RNAcentral lists this ribosomal RNA (197 nucleotides) under Holocentrus adscensionis (longjaw squirrelfish). RNAcentral describes it as "partial large subunit ribosomal RNA". Lineage: Eukaryota; Metazoa; Chordata; Actinopteri; Holocentriformes; Holocentridae. The record is from RNAcentral.